RNAcentral lists this small RNA (930 nucleotides) under Pan troglodytes (chimpanzee). RNAcentral's name for it is "retained intron". Lineage: Eukaryota; Metazoa; Chordata; Mammalia; Primates; Hominidae. The record is from RNAcentral.
GACUGCUCGCGCCGGUGAGGCCUGCGCGGCAGGAGGGGGCGGGAGGAUGCGGGCGGGCCGGUAGCCAGGCGCGGGGCCCGAGGCCCGACGCUGGCCGAGGUGCUGAGCCGCCGGUGCGUCCCCCAGGCUGGUGGCCGAGCUGCAGGGAGCCCUGGACGCCUGCGCACAGCGACAAUUGCAAUUGGAGCAGAGCCUGCGCGUUUGCCGUCGGCUGCUGCAUGCCUGGGAACCAACUGGGACCCGGGCUUUGAAGCCACGUCCAGGGCCAGAAACUAAUGAAGAGGACCCCCUUCCAGCAUGCACACCUAGUCCACAAGACCUCAAAGAGUUGGAGUUUCUGACCCAGGCACUGGAGAAGGCUGUACGAGUUCGAAGAGGCAUCACUAAGGCUGGAGAAAGAGACAAGGCCCCCAGCCUGAAAUCUAGGCCCAUUGUCACCUCUUCUGGCACGACAGUCUCCGCCCCACCCCAUUCCCCAGGCCAAGCUGGUGGCCAUGCUUCAGACAGGAGACCCACCAAGGGCCUCUGCCAGACCACGGUGCCUGCCAAGGGCCACCCUGAGCGCCGGCUGCUGUCAGUGGGGGAUAGGACCCGUGUUGGGAUGGGAGCCCGAACCCCCAGGCCUGGGGCGGGCCUCAGGGACCAGCAAAUGGCCCCAUCCGCUGCUCCUCAGGCCCCAGAAGCCUUCACACUCAAGGAGAAGGGGUAGGUUUCCCGGACCCUCACUGGAGGGACUUCUGUCUCUGCCUCCUCAGACCCUGGCUAGCAAGGAGCCUGGGAUUUGGGGUGACAGGGAAGGCAGGGCAUCGAGCCCUGUGGCGUACCCCUGAGGCUCAUGCUCAGAAGCUGGCAGAAUGAAGCAGCUGUGUGGUGGUGUCCAGGUUGGCACCAUCAGGUCAGGGAAGUACUGGAGCCUGUCCUCCUCUCUUC